CACGUAGUUAGCCGUGGCUUUCUGGUAAGAUACCGUCAAGACUGGAGCAGUUACUCUCCAAUUUGUUCUUCUCUUACAACAGAGCUUUACGAUCCGAAAACCUUCUUCACUCACGCGGCGUUGCUCCGUCAGACUUGCGCCCAUUGCGGAAGAUUCCCUACUGCUGCCUCCCGUAGGAGUUUGGGCCGUGUCUCAGUCCCAAUGUGGCCGAUUACCCUCUCAGGUCGGCUAUGCAUCAUUGCCUUGGUAGGCCGUUACCCCACCAACGAGCUAAUGCACCGCAAGGCCAUCGAUAAGUGACAGCAAAGCCGUCUUUCCAAACACCACCAUGAGGUGGUGUUUCCUAUGCGGUAUUAGCACCCGUUUCCGGAUGUUGUCCCCCGCUUAUCGGUAGGUUCCUUACGUGUUACUCACCCGUCCGCCGCUAACGUCAGAAGUGCAAGCACUUCGUCGGUUCGCUCGACUUGCAUGUAUUAGGCACGCCGCCAGCGUUCGUCCUGAGCCAGGAUA
This 510-nucleotide ribosomal RNA is filed under the name uncultured Aerococcus sp. RNAcentral describes it as "partial 16S ribosomal RNA". The record is from RNAcentral. Lineage: Bacteria; Bacillati; Bacillota; Bacilli; Lactobacillales; Aerococcaceae.